RNAcentral lists this ribosomal RNA (253 nucleotides) under uncultured bacterium. RNAcentral describes it as "partial 16S ribosomal RNA". It matches the Rfam family "Bacterial small subunit ribosomal RNA", at positions 524 to 776 of the family's 1533-position model. The record is from RNAcentral.
UACGAAGGGGGCUAGCGUUGCUCGGAAUCACUGGGCGUAAAGGGUGCGUAGGCGGGUCUUUAAGUCGGGGGUGAAAUCCUGGAGCUCAACUCCAGAACUGCCUUCGAUACUGGCGAUCUCGAGUUCGGGAGAGGUGAGUGGAACUGCGAGUGUAGAGGUGAAAUUCGUAGAUAUUCGCAAGAACACCAGUGGCGAAGGCGGCUCACUGGCCCGAUACUGACGCUGAGGCACGAAAGCGUGGGGAGCAAACAGG